CCUGAGAAACCCAAAAGAUCGAAUGGGGAGAUUCAUCGUCAGCGAUCCCGGCACGACCGCGGCUCGUGAUGCCGUGAGACCUCGCGGUCUCGUGGUACGCGUCCGCCUUCGUUUCAGCCGGGCGUCGUCGGCGUGCACUUCUCCCCUAGUAGGACGUCGCGACCCGUUGGGUGUCGGUCUACGGCCCGGGUGGGCGCCUGUCAUGCGUACGACGCUUCGCGGCGUCACGUGGCUGACAGACCCCCGGUUGUCUGACCAGCUGCCCGGCGGUACUCGCACGGUAUCGAGCCGCAAAAUUGAACUGCGUCCGGCCCCCCGCAAGCGAGGCCAGUGUUUCCCGGAUGUACGGACCUAGCGCCGUCCCCGGGCCUGGUCGGCUGUUGGCUGGGGGUGUCCUUGGACUGGCUCUCUAAUACAAUGAAUACCGGUCGGCGACGCUACUGCUUUGGGUACUUUCAGGACCCGUCUUGAAACACGGA
Molecule: ribosomal RNA, 479 nt
Filed under: Lepiscelus distans
Lineage: Eukaryota; Metazoa; Arthropoda; Insecta; Hymenoptera; Ichneumonidae
Description: eukaryotic LSU rRNA
Source: RNAcentral